AUGGCCGGAGGCAGCGCAAUGCAGGCGGUGCUGGCGGCCCCCGGUGUGAAGGGCCGGAAGGUGCGCGCGUUCAAGGGCAGCGAGAAGGACGCCGUUGCCGGCGUCGUGCGCUCCAUCGCUGGCACCGAGGAGCAGGGCGCCUUCUUCGUCUUUGACCUCGCCAAGGUCGUCGACCUGUACAGCGGCUGGUGCCGCGCGCUGGACGGCGUGCGGCCCUACUACGCCGUCAAGUGCAACCCCGAGCCGGCGAUGCUGGGCGCGAUGGCGACUCUCGGCGCGGGAUUCGACUGCGCCAGCCGCGCCGAGAUCGAGGCCGUCCUCGCGCUCGGCGUCGUCGGGCCUGGGAGCAUCGUGUACGCGAACCCGUGCAAGCCCGAGGCGCACCUCAGGUACGCGGCCGAGGUGGGCGUCAACCUCGCCACCUACGACACCGAGGACGAGGUGGCCAAGGUGAAGCGCUGCCACCCGGGCUGCGACCUCCUCCUCCGCAUCAAGGGCCCCGACAACCCGGACGCCAAGAUCGACCUCGGCACCAAGUACGGCGCGCGCGCCGACGAGGUGGUCCCGCUCCUGCGGGCCGCGCAGAGCGCGGGGCUCCGCGUCGCCGGCGUGGCGUUCCACGUCGGGGCGUGCACGUCCCGCGUCGACGUGUACCGCGGCGCGAUCGAGGCCGCUCGCGCGGCGUUCGACGCGGCCGCGCAGCUCGGCAUGCCGCCCAUGCGCGUGCUCGACAUCGGCGGCGGAUUCAUGCCGGACGCCACGUUCGAGGGGGCGGCGGAGGCCAUCGGCGACGCGCUCGCGCAGUACUUCCCGCGCGGGUGCGGCGUGGAGAUGAUCGGCGAGCCGGGGCAGUACUUCGCCGAGACGGCAUUCACGCUCGCGGCGCGGGUCAUCGGCAGGCGCACGCGCGGCGAGGUGCGCCAGUACUGGAUCGACGACGGCAUCUACGGCGCCCUCAGCUGCACCAUCCUGGGCGACUACGUGCCGCGCCCCAGGCCGCUCGCCGCCCAGCUUCCGCCCGGCGGCGAGAAGAAGUACGCGUCGACGGUGUUCGGGCCGACGUGCGACUCCCGCGACAAGGUGGUGAGCGGGUACCAGCUGCCGGAGAUGCAGAUGGGGGACUGGCUCGUGUUCGACGGCAUAGGCGCCUACGCCGCCUCGUCGGGCUCCAACUUCAACGGAUUCUUGAUCUCGGACAUAAAGACGCAUUUGGCCUACUCCACCUAG
RNAcentral lists this ribosomal RNA (1227 nucleotides) under Triticum aestivum (bread wheat). RNAcentral describes it as "partial small subunit ribosomal RNA". The record is from RNAcentral. Lineage: Eukaryota; Viridiplantae; Streptophyta; Magnoliopsida; Poales; Poaceae.